GCGAGGGUGGCGGAAUUGGCAGACGCGCUAGACUUAGGAUCUAGUAUCGCAAGGUAUGGGGGUUCGACUCCCCCCCCUCGCACCA
This 85-nucleotide transfer RNA is filed under the name Planctomycetota bacterium. Its description in RNAcentral is "tRNA-Leu". It matches the Rfam family "tRNA". Rfam says of the family: Transfer RNA (tRNA) molecules are approximately 80 nucleotides in length. Their secondary structure includes four short double-helical elements and three loops (D, anti-codon, and T loops). The record is from RNAcentral. Lineage: Bacteria; Pseudomonadati; Planctomycetota.